RNAcentral lists this ribosomal RNA (829 nucleotides) under uncultured Bacillota bacterium. RNAcentral describes it as "bacterial SSU rRNA". It matches the Rfam family "Bacterial small subunit ribosomal RNA", at positions 73 to 914 of the family's 1533-position model. The record is from RNAcentral. Lineage: Bacteria; Bacillati; Bacillota.
ACUUCCUUCGGGAAGUGCAUAAAGUGGCGCACGGGUGAGUAACACGUAAGUAAUCUACCUUCGAGUGGGGAAUAACGUCCGGAAACGGACGCUAAUACCGCAUAAUGCAGCGGCAUCGUAAGAUGACAGUUGUUAAAGGAGCAAUUCGCUUGAAGAGGAGCUUGCGGCAGAUUAGCUAGUUGGUAAGGUAAUGGCUUACCAAGGCUACGAUCUGUAACCGGUCUAAGAGGACGGUCGGUCACACUGACACUGAAUAACGGGUCAGACUCCUACGGGAGGCAGCAGUCGGGAAUUUUGGGCAAUGGGCGAAAGCCUGACCCAGCAACGCCGCGUGAAGGAUGAAGUAUUUCGGUAAGUAAACUUCGAAAGAAUAGGAAGAAUUAAUGACGGUACUAUUUAUAAGGUCCGGCUAACUACGUGCCAGCAGCCGCGGUAAUACGUAGGGACCAAGCGUUGUUCGGAUUUACUGGGCGUAAAGGGCGCGUAGGCGGCAUGACAAGUCACUUGUGAAAUCUCCGGGCUUAACUCGGAACGGUCAAGUGAUACUGUCGCGCUAGAGUGCGGAAGGGGCAAUCAGAAUUCUUGGUGUAGCGGUGAAAUGCGUAGAUAUCAAGAGGAAUACCUGAGGUGAAGACGGGUUGCUAGGCCGACACUGACGCUGAAGCGCGAAAGCCAGGGGAGCAAACGGGAUUAGAUACCCCGGUAGUCCUGGCCCUAAACGAUGAAUACUUGGUGUCUGGAGUUUUUAGUGCUCCGGGUGCCGUCGCUAACGUUUUUAGUAUUCCGCCUGGGGAGUACGCUCGCAAGAGUGAAACUCAAAGGAAUUGAC